UCAGGGUGAACGCNGGCGGCGUGCUUGACACAUGCAAGUCGAACGGUAUGUGGCAACACAUAGAGUGGCGAACGGGUGAGUAACACGUGGGAACGUACCUUCUGCAGGGGGAUAACUGACCGAAAGGACAGCUAAUACCGCAUAAGACCGAGAGGAGAAAGGUGCAACAGCAUCGGCAGAGGAGCGGCCCGCGGACCAUCAGCUAGUUGGUGGGGUAAGAGCCUACCAAGGCAACGACGGAUAGCCGGCGUGAGAGCGUGGCCGGCCACAAGGACACUGAGAUACGGGUCCUACUCCUACGGGAGGCAGCAGUGCGGAAUUUUAGAUAAUGGAGGCAACUCUGAUCUAGCGACGCCGCGUGCAGGAAGAAGGUCUUCGGAUUGUAAACUGCUGUGGUAAGGGAAAAAUGCCAUGUAGAGUGGAAAGCUACAUGGAGGGAUGGUACUUUACUAGAAAGCCCCGGCUAACUACGUGCCAGCAGCCGCGGUAAUACGUAGGGGGCGAGCGUUACCCGGAAUCACUGGGCGUAAAGGGAGCGUAGGUGGCCUGACAUGUCGACUGUGAAAACCCGGAGCUCAACUCCGGACUUGCAGUUGAAACUGCCAGGCUUGAGGACGGUAGAGGAAGACGGAACUGCCAGUGUAGGGGUAAAAUCCUUAGAUAUUGGCAGGAACGCCGGUGACGAAGGUGGUUUUCUGGGCCGGUUCUGACACUGAUGCUCGAAAGCCAGGGGAGCGAACGGGAUUAGAUACCCCGGUAGUCCUGGCCCUAAACGAUGUUCACUAGGUGUGGGGAGCGGAAAGCUUUCCGUGCUAAAGCUAACGCGAUA
Molecule: ribosomal RNA, 829 nt
Filed under: uncultured Thermotogae bacterium
Lineage: Bacteria; Thermotogati; Thermotogota; Thermotogae
Description: bacterial SSU rRNA
Rfam family: Bacterial small subunit ribosomal RNA
Source: RNAcentral